UCGGGGAUCGCGGAUGCGGAGAGC
This 24-nucleotide microRNA is filed under the name Apis mellifera (honey bee). RNAcentral describes it as "ame-miR-9869-5p". Lineage: Eukaryota; Metazoa; Arthropoda; Insecta; Hymenoptera; Apidae. The record is from miRBase by way of RNAcentral.